This is a long non-coding RNA of Olea europaea var. sylvestris, 599 nucleotides long. RefSeq lists it as uncharacterized. NCBI's taxonomy places the organism in Eukaryota, Viridiplantae, Streptophyta, Magnoliopsida, Lamiales, Oleaceae. The transcript has 2 exons. The record is from RefSeq and is a predicted model, not a curated record.
CAAAAUUGGAGUAAAGAGUUCAAUAAAGCAAUCAGACAGAGAACAAAACCUCGAUGGCCUGACUGUUCAAGCAGUAAGGAUUUUUGUAAGAAUGACAAAGCCCAUAAAGAAACAUAGAAGUGUGCGAACUUAUAUGGCAGAUUUACGGACAGCUGUUGAGUGGCUUAUGGCAUGGGACUACUGUAUCAUUUGGAAAGUCAAUGACCUUUCAAUAAUUAUAAUCACUUAUUUUCAAGAAAUUGUCUUUUUUUUUUUCCGACCCUUUGAAUUUCUUGAUUGAUUUUCCAGGUUUAUUUGUGGAAUGGGCUGCUUCUUGUUGCAGUGGAUGCUUCUUGUUGCAGUGGAGGAAAUUGUGAACACUUCGAAAUGAAACAGAAAUUGGUGCAAAAAACCAUUUGAUUAUUGAAUGCAAAGAUACAAGAACUGAGCAUCCUGUUAGAACAAAGUCUUGCAGGGCUCUUGCUCAAUCUCCUUCCAUAGGAUUGUAUUAUGGGUAAUUUUAUUUCUCUGUGAAUAUUCAUGUAAUGUAUAAAUUUGUUUUCUUGAUUUACUAUGAUUUUUGGGCAUAAUUUUGUUACAGAACCAAGCAGAUUUUUCUA